Molecule: ribosomal RNA, 425 nt
Filed under: uncultured bacterium
Lineage: Bacteria
Description: bacterial SSU rRNA
Rfam family: Bacterial small subunit ribosomal RNA
Source: RNAcentral
GGGGAAUAUUGGACAAUGGGGGCAACCCUGAUCCAGCAAUGCCGCGUGAGUGAAGAAGGCCUUCGGGUUGUAAAGCUCUUUUGUCAGGGAAGAAACGGUCCGGGCUAAUAUCCUGGACUAAUGACGGUACCUGAAGAAUAAGCACCGGCUAACUACGUGCCAGCAGCCGCGGUAAUACGUAGGGUGCGAGCGUUAAUCGGAAUUACUGGGCGUAAAGCGUGCGCAGGCGGUUGUGCAAGACAGAUGUGAAAGCCCCGGGCUCAACCUGGGAAUUGCGAUGGAGACUGCAAGGCUUGAAUCUGGCAGAGGGGGGUAGAAUUCCACGUGUAGCAGUGAAAUGCGUAGAGAUGUGGAGGAACACCGAUGGCGAAGGCAGCCCCCUGGGUCAAGAUUGACGCUCAUGCACGAAAGCGCGGGGAGCAAAC